RNAcentral lists this ribosomal RNA (238 nucleotides) under uncultured bacterium. RNAcentral describes it as "partial 16S ribosomal RNA". It matches the Rfam family "Bacterial small subunit ribosomal RNA", at positions 83 to 334 of the family's 1533-position model. The record is from RNAcentral.
UCCAUGAGUAAAGUGGCGUACGGGUGAGUAACACGUGGGGUAAUCUACCUUCUGGUGGGGAAUAACAUUGGGAAACCGAUGCUAAUACCGCAUAACCCCGCAAGGGAAAAGGAGAAAUUCGCCGGAAGAGGAGCCCGCGGCUGAUUAGCUAGUUGGUAGGGUAACGGCCUACCAAGGCAAUGAUCGGUAGCCGGCCUGAGAGGGCACACGGCCACACUGGCACUGAAACACGGGCCAG